AGAGGCAGCAAAACCUUGGGUUUUGUUGGGAACAUCAUCUCUCACUACUUUGAUCUCUUGGCCAUAUGACAGACUAAUCAUUAGUGUCGCAUUUAUUCUUCCAGUGGUCAGAUGGGGUGCUCACAUGCUGCAGGUUCCUUACAUGUGCUUGUUUCCUUCCCUAAACUGAAGGUGCCUUUGAAGGCAGUCUUUUUCUACAUCCAUCAAGUUCUCUGGGGAAGAGCACUUCUUAGCUAUUCCAUCAACACUCUUGCCAGUCUAAUCUCACCAUCAGUUUCCCGUGGCCUGCCCUUUGUCUGAAACUUUGAAGGUCUUAUCGAAUGUUACUUAGCCUCCAACAGUAUUCG
RNAcentral lists this long non-coding RNA (347 nucleotides) under Homo sapiens (human). RNAcentral describes it as "non-protein coding lnc-ARPC3-3:1". The record is from RNAcentral. Lineage: Eukaryota; Metazoa; Chordata; Mammalia; Primates; Hominidae.